AUUCUACUCCCUCCGUUGCACAUUACAUGCCUUCUAUUUGUCAAAAUAUAUAUGUAUCUAGACAUGUUUUAGUAUAUAGGUACAUCCAUUUUUGGACAAAUGGAAGUCAAGUAUUUUGGAACGGAGGGAGUACACA
Non-coding RNA from Triticum aestivum (bread wheat), 136 nucleotides. Lineage: Eukaryota; Viridiplantae; Streptophyta; Magnoliopsida; Poales; Poaceae. The record is from Rfam.